GAUUUAUCGUUGGGUGGGGGAUAACCUUGGGAAACUGGGGCUAAUACCGCAUGACGCCUGUGGGCCAAAGCAGCAAUGCGCCUGAUGAGGAGCCUGCGUUCGAUUAGCUAGUUGGUGGGGUAAAGGCCUACCAAGGCGACGAUCGAUAGCUGGUCUGAGAGGAUGAUCAGCCACACUGGGACUGAGACACGGCCCAGACUCCUACGGGAGGCAGCAGUGGGGAAUAUUGGACAAUGGGCGCAAGCCUGAUCCAGCAAUGCCGCGUGGAU
This 269-nucleotide ribosomal RNA is filed under the name uncultured bacterium. RNAcentral describes it as "partial 16S ribosomal RNA". It matches the Rfam family "Bacterial small subunit ribosomal RNA", at positions 123 to 406 of the family's 1533-position model. The record is from RNAcentral.